UUUGAGCUUUCCAAUGUAGGUAUAUGAUGAGAUGAGCUUGCCGAAUGGUGUUUUGAGGCUUCAGCCGAAAGGAGGACAUGGCCAUCAUAAUGGAGUGAAGAGUGUGAUGGGACAUUUGGAUGGCAGCCGUGAGUUUCCUCGGUUGUGCAUAGGAUUGGAAAUCCACCUGGUGCUAUGGACAUGAAAGCUUAUCUUCUACAGAAGUUCAGUCCUGUGGAGCGAAAUCAGGGAAAAUGAAGAUUCCUGGUAACAUAGGGUAUUUUUGACGAUUGAUGAUGCACUGGAACAAGGAGUUGAGGCAGUGAGGACACUGGCGCUGAGUGGGUUCUGCCAAAAAAUCACUAGAUUCAAUUUAGGGCAGAAGUACAAGCAUCACAAAGUUUGAUCACAUUACAU
Hibiscus syriacus is the source of this 396-nucleotide long non-coding RNA. RefSeq lists it as uncharacterized. Lineage: Eukaryota; Viridiplantae; Streptophyta; Magnoliopsida; Malvales; Malvaceae. The record is from RefSeq and is a predicted model, not a curated record. The transcript has 4 exons.